GGGCCAUUAGUUCGGGUGGUUAAAGCGCACCCCUGAUAAGGGUGAGGUCCCUGGUUCAAGUCCAGGAUGGCCCA
This 74-nucleotide transfer RNA is filed under the name uncultured cyanobacterium. Its description in RNAcentral is "tRNA-Ile". It matches the Rfam family "tRNA". From Rfam's summary of the family: Transfer RNA (tRNA) molecules are approximately 80 nucleotides in length. Their secondary structure includes four short double-helical elements and three loops (D, anti-codon, and T loops). Lineage: Bacteria; Bacillati; Cyanobacteriota. The record is from RNAcentral.